Molecule: ribosomal RNA, 2303 nt
Filed under: metagenome
Description: bacterial LSU rRNA
Rfam family: Bacterial large subunit ribosomal RNA
Source: RNAcentral
UGUUUUUGUUUGUGAUACGGCGACACCCGAGAUCUCAACUAUCCUCUUCGUCGGCAGCGUCAGAUGUGUAUAAGAGACAGAGCCUGAAUAUUCCUGUCUGACCGAUAGCGAACGAGUACCGUGAGGGAAAGGUGAAAAGUACCCCGGGAGGGGAGUGAAACAGUCUCUGAAACCGUGCGCCUACAAUCCGUCGGAGCCCUUUUGUGGGGUGACGGCGUGCCUAUCGAAAAAUGAGUCUGCGAGUCAGUGGCAUGUGGCGAGCAUAACCCGUGUGGGGUAUGCGUAGCGAAGGCGAGUCUUAAAAGGCGUUUGAGUCGCGUGUCCUGGACCCGAAGCGGGAUGAUCUAGCCCUGAGCAGGUUGAAGCGCGGGUAAGACCGCGUGGAGGACCGAACCCACCUGGGUUGAAAACCGGGGGGAUGACCUGGGGCUAGGGGUGAAAGGCCAAUCAAAUUCCGUGAUAGCUGGUUCUCUCCGAAAUGCAUUUAGGUGCAGCGUCGGUUGAUUGCAUCGCGGGGGUAGAGCUACUGGAUGCUUGCGGGCCCGUAUGGGGUACCAACAGCAGCCAAACUCCGAAUACCGUUGAUGUGUAUUCCGGCAGUGAGUCGGCGGGGGAUAAGCUCCGUCGUCGAGAGGGAGACAGCCCAGAUCGUCGUCUAAGGUCCCGAAGCGUGUGCUAAGUGGGAAAGGAUGUGGAGUCGCAUAGACAGCCAGGAGGUUGGCUCAGAAGCAGCCAUCCUUGAAAGAGUGCGUAACAGCUCACUGGUCUAGUGGUUCCGCGCCGACAAUGUAGCGGGGCUCAAGCACACCACCGAAGACGCGGCAGCGGCCUUUGUGGCCGCUGGGUAGGAGAGCGUCCCCCGAGGGGCGAAGCGGCGGCGGAAGCCGGCCGUGGACUUCGGGGGAGUGAGAAUGCAGACAUGAGUAGCGAGAGACGGGUGAGGAUCCCGUCCGCUGGAUGACCAAGGGUUCCGGGGCCACGUUCGUCGUCCCCGGGUGAGUCGGGUCCUAAGGCGAGGCCGACAGGCGUAGUCGAAUGGAUGAACGGGUGGAUAUUCCCGUACCGGCAGCGAACCGCAAGAGCCGAACGGAUGAGUACUAACCUCCGGUCGCGUGGCGUCGUUCCCUUCGGGGUUCGGGGCGCGCGAUUGUUGGGAAUGUAGUCCUGGUAGGUUAGCGCACAGGGGUGACACGGAAUGGGAGCCGGCCGCGGAGGUGGUUUUCCGUGGUCAAGCACGCAGCCCGUCCCAUAGGCAAAUCCGUGGGACAUGCAGGGUGAGGUGCGAUGAUGGGCGCCUUUUCGGGCGCGAUAUCCGGUGGUCCAGGCCGUCGAGAAAAGCCUCGGCGCGAGGGGCGUUGCCGCCCGUACCCCAAACCGACACUGGUGGUCAGGUAGAGAAUACCAAGGCGAUCGAGCGAAUCCUGGUCAAGGAACUCGGCAAAUCACUCCCGUGCCUUCGGUAUAAGGGAGACCCCUGAUGGUGAUGGAACUUGCUUCCGGAGCUUUCGGGGGUGGCACAGACCAGGGGGUAGCGACUGUUUACCAAAAACACAGGUGCAUGCGAAGGCGCAAGCCGCUGUAUAUGCACUGACGCCUGCCCGGUGCCGGAAGGUUAAGAGGAUCCGUCAGCCCUCGGGUGAAGCGGUGAAUUCAAGCCCCGGUAAACGGCGGUGGUAACUAUAACCAUCCUAAGGUAGCGAAAUUCCUUGUCGGGUAAGUUCCGACCUGCACGAAUGGCGUAACGACUUCCCCACUGUCUCGACCAGGAGCUCGGCGAAAUUGCAGUACGAGUAAAGAUGCUCGUUAAGCGCAGAAGGACGAAAAGACCCCGGGACCUUUACUAUACCUUGGUAUUGGCGUUAGGCGCGGAUUGUGUAGCAUAGGCGGGAGGCUUCGAAGCAUGGGCGCCAGCCCGUGUGGAGCCGCAAGGUGAAAUACCGCUCUGUUCUCGUUUGACGUCUCACCUCGAACAGUCAUCCUGUUCAGGGACAGUGCCUGGCGGGUAGUUUAACUGGGGCGGUUGCCUCCCAAAGAGUAACGGAGGCGCUCAAAGGUCCGCUCAGCCCGGUUGGCAAUCGGGUGUCGAGUGUAAUCGCACAAGCGGGCUUGACUGCGAGAACGACGGUUCGGGCAGGGACGAAAGUCGGAGAUAGUGAUCCGGUGCCGGCGCACGGGCGCGGCAUCGCUCAACGGAUAAAAGGUACUCCGGGGAUAACAGGCUGAUCAUUCCCAAGAGUCCAUAUCGACGGGAUGGUUUGGCACCUCGAUGUCGGCUCGUCGCAUCCUGGGGCUGGAGCAGGUCC